GGGUGCCUGGACAUGUCUGUUCCGGGCAGUCCGGCACAGACAAAGAAAAGGCCCCACUUAACGUUAAUCAAGUGAGGCCGAUCUGUAUGACUCGCAACAUCAGGUUAGCCUCUUACCCGCCGCAAGGCAAGGAAUUGGAGGCCAGUA
RNAcentral lists this antisense RNA (147 nucleotides) under Chimaeribacter arupi. Its description in RNAcentral is "sok antitoxin (CssrC)". It matches the Rfam family "sok antitoxin (CssrC)". From Rfam's summary of the family: Also identified in Shigella as CssrC. The record is from RNAcentral. Lineage: Bacteria; Pseudomonadati; Pseudomonadota; Gammaproteobacteria; Enterobacterales; Yersiniaceae.